AGAGUUUGAUCCUGGCUCAGGAUGAACGCUGGCGGCGUGCCUAAUACAUGCAAGUCGAACGAAACUUCUUUAUCACCGAGUGCUUGCACUCACCGAUAAAGAGUUGAGUGGCGAACGGGUGAGUAACACGUGGGCAACCUGCCCAAAAGAGGGGGAUAACACUUGGAAACAGGUGCUAAUACCGCAUAACCAUAGUUACCGCAUGGUAACUAUGUAAAAGGUGGCUAUGCUACCGCUUUUGGAUGGGCCCGCGGCGCAUUAGCUAGUUGGUGAGGUAAAGGCUUACCAAGGCAAUGAUGCGUAGCCGAACUGAGAGGUUGAUCGGCCACAUUGGGACUGAGACACGGCCCAAACUCCUGCGGGAGGCAGCAGUAGGGAAUCUUCCACAAUGGGCGAAAGCCUGAUGGAGCAACGCCGCGUGGGUGAAGAAGGUCUUCGGAUCGUAAAACCCUGUUGUUAGAGAAGAAAGUGCGUGAGAGUAACUGUUCACGUUUCGACGGUAUCUAACCAGAAAGCCACGGCUAACUACGUGCCAGCAGCCGCGGUAAUACGUAGGUGGCAAGCGUUAUCCGGAUUUAUUGGGCGUAAAGGGAACGCAGGCGGUCUUUUAAGUCUGAUGUGAAAGCCUUCGGCUUAAACCGGAGUAGUGCAUUGGAAACUGGGAGGCUUGAGUGCAGAAGAGGAGAGUGGAACUCCAUGUGUAGCGGUGAAAUGCGUAGAUAUAUGGAAGAACACCAGUGGCGAAAGCGGCUCUCUGGUCUGUAACUGACGCUGAGGUUCGAAAGCGUGGGUAGCAAACAGGAUUAGAUACCCUGGUAGUCCACGCCGUAAACGAUGAAUGCUAAGUGUUGGAGGGUUUCCGCCCUUCAGUGCUGCAGCUAACGCAAUAAGCAUUCCGCCUGGGGAGUACGACCGCAAGGUUGAAACUCAAAGGAAUUGACGGGGGCCCGCACAAGCGGUGGAGCAUGUGGUUUAAUUCGAAGCAACGCGAAGAACCUUACCAGGUCUUGACAUCCCGAUGCUAUUCCUAGAGAUAGGAAGUUUCUUCGGAACAUCGGUGACAGGUGGUGCAUGGUUGUCGUCAGCUCGUGUCGUGAGAUGUUGGGUUAAGUCCCGCAACGGGCGCAACCCCUAUUGUUAGUUGCCAUCAUUAAGUUGGGCACUCUAGCGAGACUGCCGGUAAUAAACCGGAGGAAGGUGGGGAUGACGUCAAAUCAUCAUGCCCCUUAUGACCUGGGCUACACACGGGCUACAAUGGUUGGUACAACGAGUCGCGAGUCGGUGACGGCAAGCAAAUCUCUUAAAGCCAAUCUCAGUUCGGAUUGUAGGCUGCAACUCGCCUACAUGAAGUCGGAAUCGCUAGUAAUCGCGGAUCAGCACGCCGCGGUGAAUACGUUCCCGGGCCUUGUACUCACCGCCCGUCA
RNAcentral lists this ribosomal RNA (1424 nucleotides) under uncultured bacterium. Its description in RNAcentral is "bacterial SSU rRNA". It matches the Rfam family "Bacterial small subunit ribosomal RNA". The record is from RNAcentral.